GACGAACGCUGGCGGCGUGCUUAACACAUGCAAGUUGAACGGUAAGGCCCUUCGGGGUACACGAGUGGCGAACGGGUGAAUAACACGUGGGUGAUCUGCCCUGCACUUUGGGAUAAGCCUGGGAAACUGGGUCUAAUACCGGAUAGGACCAUGCGCUGCACGGUGUGUGGUGGAAAGCUUUUGCGGUGUGGGAUGGGCCCGCGGCCUAUCAGCUUGUUGGUGGGGUAAUGGCCUACCAAGGCGACGACGGGUAGCCGGCCUGAGAGGGUGACCGGCCACACUGGGACUGAGAUACGGCCCAGACUCCUACGGAAGGCAGCAGUGGGGAAUAUUGCACAAUGGGCGCAAGCCUGACGCAGCGACGCCGCGUGAGGGAUGACGGCCUUCGGGUUGUAAACCUCUUUCAGUAGGGACGAAGCGCAAGUGACGGUACCUACAGAAGAAGGACCGGCCAACUACGUGCCAGCCGCCGCCGUAA
This 478-nucleotide ribosomal RNA is filed under the name uncultured bacterium. RNAcentral describes it as "partial 16S ribosomal RNA". It matches the Rfam family "Bacterial small subunit ribosomal RNA", at positions 28 to 523 of the family's 1533-position model. The record is from RNAcentral.